Molecule: long non-coding RNA, 3761 nt
Filed under: Heterocephalus glaber (naked mole-rat)
Lineage: Eukaryota; Metazoa; Chordata; Mammalia; Rodentia; Bathyergidae
Description: lncRNA (ENSHGLG00000035085.1)
Source: RNAcentral
UCCGGUCGGGGUCUCGGGUCUCCCCGGAGCGGCGGCGCCUCCUCCGCCUCCCUAGGCCUCCUCCCGGCGGAGACCCCGGCGCCGCUGAGGCGGCGGAGAUAACACCACCCUGUGCGGGUUCUGCGCGAGGCUAGUGAACUUCAGAGGGGCAGCCUGUGUGAGAGCUACCUUAUCCAUGCAGAGAGCUGGGGGAACAAAUUGGGACAGCAAGUGCCAAGGCCCGGAGGUGGCGGGGACGAUGAUGAGUGGAGGGGCAGAUUGAAGGGGACCCCGAGCCGCGGGAAGGCGUCGUCUCCAAGGCCUGCGGCAGAGUUUCUGGGCACUGUCAGUUCUGCCAAGCCCAGGGCUUCUUCACCUUCACUCACACUUCUCUGUAUCGCUCCACUCUCAGUACUUGUGCUGCCCAAGCGAGCACCUUUGCCUUCAUUCAUAAAUGGGUGUUCAACAGCUGCAAGCGCCCGGGGACGCUACAGACAACAGUAGGCAGAGCCCUGUGUCUACGCAGAGUGGAUGUGCUGGGAGAGAGGCGAAGAAAGGUCAGAGUACUUCAGCGAGUGUGAAGCCAACUACAGUGGGGUGAGGGAUCGGGCCGGGGCUGGGCUGCCAGGAAGGCCUCACCCGACACACUCGUCUUCUUGCCCCUCCAAUAAACCACAGAAGCAGCAGUUAGCUCUAAGUGUCAAUUUCCCGUCUUCUGAACAGUUGUGCCCUCCAGGGGUACUGUGAUGGAGCCCCGGAUUCUACUGGGGCUCAUCUUCCAGCAAACCAGUCCUUCCAUGCUCAGCCUCAUCCCACAAACACGUAUCAAGCCAGGCACCAUCACAGGUCAUAGGGACCAAGCAGUGACCCAGACAUAAAAAUCUCACCCUGGAGAGGGAGAGCAGCAGACUGGACAGGAACCAGAAUCCAUGGCCCUUAGAUUAUGCCGGUGGUAAUGAGAGGAAUGAAGACAGGGGAGGUUCGUGGGCCUGGGGGACAGGUGGGGGUUACUGAGGGCCCCUUGAGAGGACAGGUGAGCAAAGACAGGAAGAAGGGAGAGCAGGGGUGGCACAGGGCAUGGAGCAUUCCAGGGCAGGAGCAAGGGCCCCGGACAAAGGCAGGAGCGAUGCGAGCCAGCACACUGGAGGACGGGUUUGACUCAGUGGGACGGGGGACACUGCAGGGCUGUGCGCAGAGGGGCCGUGGCUUGGUCUUGGUCCUGUGUCUAUAAGGGAGCAGUCACACCUGAGUCUGUUAGCAGUCUGAAUGUGACGAGCCACCUCAGCACCCACACAGCCUUUCAUACUGGCCCUGGGUCUCACCCACAGACUCGGGAUUUGGAGGUCAUAGCUCCAUGUGUGUUGGAAGACGGAGGCAUUUGGUAUUUUGUACAGCAUGUUUUAGGGACAGGAGCACAGACUCGAACUCGCUGCCUGCUGUGUGGCUUUGGAGACUGAGUCACCCCUCCCACCCUAGGGCCCGUCCUUCCUCGGGGUUUCAGACAGUAAUGGUGAGCAUUCCCCGGGUUGUGGGGAGGAUUAGGUAUGGGCAUUUAGUGCUACAGGUUACCCUCCAGGACUGUAACUGUCACCACCACCGAUAGGCUGCAGUUGCUGCACCAGGAAGCUCUGUGGCCCCGAAGAGCUCACAGACCCCUGGCAUCAGACACCUGCUUCUCCUUCGUGGCACAAGGGAGGGGCACACAUCAGAUGCCUGACAACAGAUGGGAGUGGUGGAAGCUUUCGCUGUGCUGUUUUCCGGGAACUACUCCCGCCCCAGGAGCACCUCUCUCCUGGUUGUGCCACUCUGUGUAAAACCCUGUUAGGCGUCUUCCCUUAGAAAGACAGCAACUCAAGGGUCGAAUCCCCUAAGAGGACCUGUCCUGGUUCUCUGGAAAUUUGCCCAAACACCCCGUCCUGCCUCUGGCCCUUGUCUCAGUACCCUUCUCAUGCCUCCACUGUCCCCAGAGUUCCUCGUCCUGGCAGGCACCUCACAUCAGCUGCAUCCCUACUAAAUGUCCCCACUGGGGUCCUUCCCUAGAGUCUCAUCCAGUCACAAGCUGCACAACACCCAUGAGUGCAGGCACUGGCGACUGUGAAUCCCACCCAGGCACUGCCCUAGCUGCCGCCUUAGCUUCCUAGGGCGAGGCUCUGUUCUCAUCCAUCACGGAGGCGUUUCCUCACUUCCCUGUGGCUACUCCAUGGUCCCUUCCAAGGUUUAGGAAGGUGGUGUUUAGUUUCUGCACAUCAGCAAACAUCUGUGAGCAGGCACUGGACAAGGCAGGCCAGAGCCUUGCUCUUAGUGACAGCCAGGAGACACAUGGUGAAGAAAUGAGUGAGUCAGUGGUGCACACCUGUCAUCGUACACUUUGAGAGGCCGGAAGUUCAAGCCUAGGCUGGAAAACUUAGUGAGACUGUCUCAAAAAACUAAAAUCGGGCUGGUGAUAAAGCUCAGGGCAAAGGCUAGGGUUCAGUCUCCAGUACUGCAGAGCAGAAAAGGUGGUGGUGGUUAACUGCCAUGAGAGUUCAGCGGAUGCUGGGCUGGAAAGUGCUGGGGUCCCAAGUGGGGACCGGAAGUGCACUCAGGAAGGGGCUCGAGUCUGGGGAUGAACAUUCCCAGCAGAGGGAAGAAUCCAUUGUGUGUUUACGGCCAUAUCCACCACCCCCUUCCACCAGGUCCCUAGUAUGAGCCCCUCAUACUCGGGGAGCACCCCUAGAUGAGUCACCUGCCUCCUGGCUCCAUCUCCUCCUUCCUCUAUGAGGGGAAACACCCGAGGGCGUUGGGAGAGGCGAGUGGUCUCCUGGCUGGAGGUGCCAGUUGCUCCAUUACAGCCUGCUGUUCUGAGCCAGGUGUGGUGGUGCACACCUGUAAUCCCAGCUGCGCCAGAGGCUGAGGCAGGAAGAUUUCAAGUUUCAGGCCAGCCUUGGCAACUCAGUGAGAGCCUGUUUCAAAAUAAAAGUGGAGAGGCUGGGGAUGGAGCUCAGUGGUAGAGCAGUUGCCUGGCACAUGCAAACCCUGUGUUGAACCCUCAGACCUCCAAAAUAGAAAAGACUGCUGCUCUGUGAUCCUGAGGGAGGCCUUUGGCCUCCCUGUGUCUCCAAAGAGUAGAAGAAGCUUUCGGGUCUGCAGCGUUGACGGUGUGACGCGCCUAGGCUGGCAACCUCGGGAAGCUGGAGCGGAAGGGGAGGGCACCCCGCCCGUCCUCAGCCCGCCUCUCUUCACAGGGUCUCCCAGCUCCGCUGAGAUGGAGUCGAACCCAGCGGGGGCAGCGGGAACGGCGGCCUGGGGGGCGAGGAUGGCGUGCAUUUCCAGAGCUACCCCUUCGACUUCCUGGAGUUCCUCAACCACCAGCGCUGCGAGCCCAUGGAGCUAUACGGGGGAGCACGCCAAGGCCGUGGCUGCGCUGCCCCUGCGCCCAGGCCCCCGCCGCCGCCGCCGCCGCAGCCCCCGCCGCCGCAGUUCGACUACCCGCCACCGGCCAGCUUCAAGCCCAAGGCCGAGGCGCCAUCCUCAGCUUCCUCCUCCUCCUCCUCCUCCUCCUCCUCCUCCUCCUCCUCCUCCUCCUCUUCCUCGUCCUCCACCUCCUCCGCCCCAGCCAAGAAGCCCGACCCGCCGCUGCCGCCCGCCUUUGGGGCACCCCCACCCCCGCUCUUCGACGCCGCCUUCCCUGCCCCGCAGUGGGGCAUCGUGGACCUCUCCGGCCACCAGCACCUGUUCGGGAACCUGAAGCGCGGCGGGCCGGCGGCAGGGCCGGGCGUGGCGCCCGGUCUUGGUGCACCCGC